CACUUUGCGUCCGCCAGACCCCGGUCUAGAGUUCCGGCAUAUUUUAACGUUUGCCGGACUUUGAUUUUCGAGGCCGCCUUGCGCAUGCGACGCUUGCUUCUCGUAUGGACUUUCCUGACAGCCGCGCUGACACCGGCGCUUGCCGAGAAGCGCGUCGCACUGGUGAUCGGCAAUUCCGACUAUCAGAACGUCGCGCCGCUCACGAAUCCCUCCAACGACGCCGCCGCCAUCGCGGCCAUCCUGACGAAAGCCGGUUUCGAUACCGUCGAUGCAAAAUCGAAUCUGUCGGGCAUCGAAAUGAAG
Molecule: unclassified non-coding RNA, 303 nt
Filed under: Hevea brasiliensis (rubber tree)
Lineage: Eukaryota; Viridiplantae; Streptophyta; Magnoliopsida; Malpighiales; Euphorbiaceae
Source: RNAcentral